CCCGCUGAACUUAAGCAUAUCAAUAAGCGGAGGAAAAGAAACCAACAGGGAUUGCCUCAGUAACGGCGAGUGAAGCGGCAAAAGCUCAAAUUUUAAAGCCGACAUCUUCGGUGUCCGCGUUGUAAUUUUGUGAGGCAUCUCCGGGUAGGGCGCCGGCCUAAGUUCCUUGGAACAGGACGUCACAGAGGGUGAGAAUCCCGUGCUUGGCUGGCUGUCCCCGUCCAUGUGAGGUGUCUUCGACGAGUCGAGUUGUUUGGGAAUGCAGCUCAAAAUGGGUGGUAAAUUUCAUCUAAAGCUAAAUAUUGGUGGGAGACCGAUAGCGCACAAGUAGAGUGAUCGAAAGAUGAAAAGCACUUUGAAAAUAGAGUUAAAAAGUACGUGAAAUUGUUGAAAGGGAAGCGCUUGAGACCAGACUUCGGUAAGGGGUGAUCAGCCGUCCUUCUGGGCGGUGCACUUGCCCCCCUCCGGGCCAGCAUCGGUUGAGGCGGCGGGAUAAAGGUCCCGGGAAUGUGGCUCCUUCACGGGAGUGUUAUAGCCCGGGUGAAUGCCGCCAGCUUCGACCGAGGACCGCACCCGCAAGGGUUAGGAUGCUUGGCAUAAUGGUCUUCAGCGACCCGUCUUGAAACACGG
This 630-nucleotide ribosomal RNA is filed under the name uncultured fungus. Its description in RNAcentral is "eukaryotic LSU rRNA". It matches the Rfam family "Eukaryotic large subunit ribosomal RNA", at positions 24 to 664 of the family's 3401-position model. The record is from RNAcentral. Lineage: Eukaryota; Fungi.